RNAcentral lists this ribosomal RNA (201 nucleotides) under uncultured bacterium. Its description in RNAcentral is "partial 16S ribosomal RNA". It matches the Rfam family "Bacterial small subunit ribosomal RNA", at positions 328 to 539 of the family's 1533-position model. The record is from RNAcentral.
ACGCUUGACACCUACGUGAGGCAGCAGUGGGGAAUAUUGGGCAAUGGGGGCAACCCUGACCCAGCAACGCCGCGUGAAGGAAGAAGGCUUUCGGGUUGUAAACUUCUUUGACAAGGGACGAAAUAAAUGACGGUACCUUGAAAACAAGCCACGGCUAACUACGUUCACACAGCCGCGGUAAUCUGAGCGGGCUGGCAAGGC